RNAcentral lists this transfer RNA (72 nucleotides) under Camelus bactrianus (Bactrian camel). It matches the Rfam family "tRNA". Rfam says of the family: Transfer RNA (tRNA) molecules are approximately 80 nucleotides in length. RNAcentral also lists the same sequence under 1 other name. The record is from Rfam by way of RNAcentral. Lineage: Eukaryota; Metazoa; Chordata; Mammalia; Artiodactyla; Camelidae.
GAGGGUAUAGCUCAGUGGUAGAAUGUAUGCUUAGCAUGCACAAGGUCCUGGGAUCAAUCCCCAGUACCUCCA